UGGCAGGUCUGCUUGCUCUGCGCAGCUGUAUAGGGAGGAAGAACUUGACAACCGCGACUGGCUGCUUCACGGAUCGCGCAACUCACGCGGUUUCUGUGCCAUGGAGAAGAUGUUUUUCACAGUAUGAACAGGUAACCAGCAAUGAAGACCUGCCAAUCCCAAUGGAAAACCCCUAUAAAGAGCCUCUUAAGAAGUGCGUCUUGUGUGAGAAACGUGUAGAUUACAAGAAUGUACAGGUCUUUGUGGGAAGAAGCAGAAGGAAGUGACUAAAGCCAUUAAGCGAGCUCAGAAAAUGGGGUUUAUGCCAGUUACAUACAAGGAUCCGGCAUAUCUCAAAGACCCUAAAGUUUGCAACAUCAGAUACCGAGAAUAAAUUUUGUAAAGUUCCUGCCAAU
Molecule: long non-coding RNA, 395 nt
Filed under: Rattus norvegicus (Norway rat)
Lineage: Eukaryota; Metazoa; Chordata; Mammalia; Rodentia; Muridae
Description: long non-coding RNA NONRATT009742
Source: RNAcentral